UACGUAGGGUGCAAGCGUUACUCGGAAUUACUGGGCGUAAAGCGUGCGCAGGCGGUUGUGUAAGUCUGUCGUGAAAUCCCCGGGCUCAACCUGGGAAUUGCGAUGGAGACUGCACGGCUAGAGUGUGUCAGAGGGGGGUAGAAUUCCACGUGUAGCAGUGAAAUGCGUAGAGAUGUGGAGGAAUACCGAUGGCGAAGGCAGCCCCCUGGGAUAACACUGACGCUCAUGCACGAAAGCGUGGGGAGCAAACAGG
This 253-nucleotide ribosomal RNA is filed under the name uncultured bacterium. RNAcentral's name for it is "partial 16S ribosomal RNA". It matches the Rfam family "Bacterial small subunit ribosomal RNA", at positions 524 to 776 of the family's 1533-position model. The record is from RNAcentral.